Non-coding RNA from Prunus avium (sweet cherry), 678 nucleotides. Lineage: Eukaryota; Viridiplantae; Streptophyta; Magnoliopsida; Rosales; Rosaceae. The record is from RefSeq and is a predicted model, not a curated record.
UUGCCGGCAAUGAUUGUGAUGGGCCGUUGCCUACCACUUGAACACGCUUUUAUCUUUCAAGACUUUUGCAAGCCACUAAAAAUAUCCAUGUACUAACUAGAGAAAUCUAGAAAAAUUAGAAAAACUAUGGCUAAAAACAACUUUGGAAAAGUCAAACCAACUUUUCCAAAUCAAGCUGCCGACAUAGCAGCCCAUAUAUAUUCAAUCAAGGAAAGCUGAAGCUAGCCAACUCUUGUAUCCAACUCUAAAGCCUUAUACCCUUCUUAUUUCAUUAUUCUAUAUUUUAUAAUUGCUUCCACUGUAAACUUAAGGUUUCGGUGUACUUCUUACAAAUUUAGGGCUUCGGUGGCCACUGAAAUUGUUUAGGGUUUGGGGAUUUAGAAGCACAGCAUCUAAAGAGAGGGUGAGAGAACAAUACUAACAUCAGCCUGUUUUGAGUAGAUUCUUUCAGAUUACAUACGUGGUUCGAAGUUUAGGCCUGUUUUGUUUGGCUGAGUUGUAAUUGACUUCUUUGAAUCGAAACUACAGACCCAGAACACACAGUUGCCAGCAAUGGAAGAAGAAGACACCAGCAACAGAUAUAGUGGCACAGGUAAUAGAAUUAUAAACCCCGAUCACGCAGCUGAUGUUGGGAUUUUUGAGCAUCCCAACUCAGAUGUCAACUGGAGCAACGCCGCC